GAUGAACGCUGGCGGCGUGCUUAACACAUGCAAGUCGAACGGUGAAGCUCCAGCUUGCUGGAGUGGAUCAGUGGCGAACGGGUGAGUAACACGUGAGCAACCUGCCCCUGACUCUGGGAUAACAGCCGGAAACGGCUGCUAAUACCGGAUAUGCACCAUGAACGCAUGUUCUGUGGUGGGAAAGAUUUUUCGGUUGGGGAUGGGCUCGCGGCCUAUCAGCUUGUUGGUGAGGUAAUGGCUCACCAAGGCGUCGACGGGUAGCCGGCCUGAGAGGGUGACCGGCCACACUGGGACUGCGACACGGCCCAGACUCCUACGGGAGGCAGCAGUGGGGAAUAUUGCACAAUGGGCGAAAGCCUGAUGCAGCAACGCCGCGUGCGGGAUGACGGCCUUCGGGUUGUAAACCUCUUUUAGCAGGGAAGAAGCGAGAGUGACGGUACCUGCAGAAAAAGCGCCGGCUAACUACGUG
Molecule: ribosomal RNA, 469 nt
Filed under: uncultured bacterium
Lineage: Bacteria
Description: partial 16S ribosomal RNA
Rfam family: Bacterial small subunit ribosomal RNA
Source: RNAcentral